AUUUAAUAACAUUAUAAAAAUUUUUUAAAACCGCAAAAAAGGUUUAUUUAAAAAAUAAAGAAAAUUAAUUUAAUUGGGAUACAGACUAAAAAAAUUGUCAUAACUGGUCUCGAACACAACUCGCACGGAUAGCAAUAAAACGGUAAGCGCGCACCUAGCACCCACGGCCACUGCGCUUCAUGCUGUAAAGUGGCUUUUUAUUAUACUUACCUUACUAAGCGAAAAUUUACAUAUUUAAAUGCAAUUUUUUCAGAAACUAAGGCCCAUUCACUCAAAAGCCAAUACACGGUUUUCGCUUUUCACCUCUUCUUUCAAAUGUACUAUAGCUCAUUCGAAAGUACAGUUAGCAGAUGUUGGCACCUCUUUGUUAGACACAUUACCGCAAUUAUAGCCUUAAAGGGUUAUGUGCAAUCAGUAAUCUUAAAAAUGUCGAUUUUCUUAACAAGUUUUUUUUUAAGUGAAACAUCUUAAAAUUGUUCUCUCAAAAUUUUAAAUUGAUCUGAAGAAAAUUUGCAAAGAUACAGACUUAAGAGUCUCCACCUAUUCCCCCUUCCGCGCGCCCGUAUCCAGCAGAAAGACUACAGCAGCUGCUGAAAAAGCCAUGAAACGUAUUUAUUUUGAUUUCUAAAGACGUUUUAUCAGAGAAAUGUGUCGGUAGAUUUAAUUAAAACAACAACGAGAGUUAUAAUCAGCUUAUAUAGAAGAUCAGCUCAAAAAUGGUGGCACAUGUUUAGUGAAAACUGUUGCAUUCAUCGCCGCCUGUAUUUUUUAAUGAAGAAAUAUCAUCUUUACUAUUGAUUUUGAGUGGUAUGGGAAUGACUUUCGGCCGAAAUGCUCACGAUUAUGCUAGGAAAGAAGAUGAGUCACGCAUAAGCCUAGCCGAGAAGAAAGUGCAGCAAUGCACUCGUGAGGCAAGAACUUUCCGUACACAACAGUAAAUCAAUGUCUUGGACAUUGCAACUACAGCUGAAGAUUUACUUUAUGGCGCUGGAAUAGAUGACUCAGUAUAAGACUAGGAGGAGCUAGAGUAGUCACUGCAAGACAACUUUUUUUUCACUUUUCUUUACAGAGCUGAGCUGUAACUUUAUGAAUAUUUAUUCUUUUUCAACAAAAAAAUUAGGAAGUAUUAUUUAAGAUUACUUUUUUAGGAGCAAAAACAUUUGUAAUAGUAAACCAAUUCGGUUUUCUCCCAAAAAUUCCCCAAAAAUCGCUUUUUUCGGUUUCCUGACCGAGUGAGUCUCAGAUACGUACAGUAAUAAACGGACACAGCAGGCUGAGUGAAACGAACACAGUAACAAACGGACACAGUGCGAAACGGACACAGACCAAAUGGAUACAGUGCGAAACGGACACAGACCAAACGGACAUAGUGCGAAACGAACACAGUUACAAACCCAUGUGGUGCAGAAUGCUUUGCGCGCGCGCGCAACACACACACGUACGCAUGCAUACACACACGGGAGGUGCAAGGGGACCUUUGUCCCCCCCCCCUCCCGCACCUAUCCCUUUUGUAGGGGUGCUCUGAAAAGUCACAACCCAUGUGGUAAGUCCGUUUGUUACUGUGUCCAUUUGGUCUGUGCGCAUUUGGUCUGUGCAUUUGGUCUGUGUCCAUUUCGCACUGUGUCCGUUUGUUACUGUGUUUGUUUCGCACUGUGUCCAUUUGUUACUGUGUCUGUUUCACUCAACUUGCUGUGUCCGUUUAUUACUGUGCGCAUCUGGGACGCUCCCUCCUGACCACACAUAACUUCUUAAUUCUGACCAGAUCAAUUUCUUUCAUUCUUUAGUGCUUUUUCUAUCUCUUCCUUACUUUAUUCUUUUUUAUCCUUCUUUAUCUUCUUAGUUUUAUUUAUUUGUCUACUACAAUACUUAUUACUCAUGUUUUUAACACCAAAGACCAAAGACGUUUGUGUCUCUAAAAUCUGGUUUUUCUUUCCACCUGAGUACAUGUUUUAAAUACAGCAUUAGCAAGUAAUGUGAGCUGGGGCAAGUGCAUAUUUAUUUAAAAUUUAGUUUCCGAAAAUUUAAAGUUUCUGUUAACCCUCUUCCCACAAGUUUGAAAAUUUUUAUGCAACAUUGAAACUUUGGCAAUAUGACAUUUAAAUUGUACUUUAUAGAGGCAUAAGGUUAUUUAAAAAAAGAAUUAAGAGAAAAAGAUCACACUUAAGAAAAUUUUGUUUUGAUGGCGCACUUACCCUGGUUUUGUGACUCCGGCUAUUACUGCCACCAUGCAGUGAAAA
Monomorium pharaonis (pharaoh ant) is the source of this 2237-nucleotide long non-coding RNA. RefSeq lists it as uncharacterized. Lineage: Eukaryota; Metazoa; Arthropoda; Insecta; Hymenoptera; Formicidae. The transcript has 2 exons. The record is from RefSeq and is a predicted model, not a curated record.